This 253-nucleotide unclassified non-coding RNA is filed under the name uncultured Halomonadaceae bacterium. RNAcentral's name for it is "contains 16S-23S intergenic spacer region". It matches the Rfam family "Bacterial small subunit ribosomal RNA", at positions 524 to 776 of the family's 1533-position model. Lineage: Bacteria; Pseudomonadati; Pseudomonadota; Gammaproteobacteria; Oceanospirillales; Halomonadaceae. The record is from RNAcentral.
UACGGAGGGUGCGAGCGUUACUCGGAAUUACUGGGCGUAAAGCGCGCGUAGGCGGCGUGAUAAGCCGGUUGUGAAAGCCCCGGGCUCAACCUGGGAACGGCAUCCGGAACUGUCAAGCUAGAGUGCAGGAGAGGAAGGUAGAAUUCCCGGUGUUGCGGUGAAAUGCGUAGAGAUCGGGAGGAAUACCAGUGGCGAAGGCGGCCUUCUGGACUGACACUGACACUGAGGUGCGAAGGUGUGGGGAGCAAACAGG